This 427-nucleotide ribosomal RNA is filed under the name uncultured Bacillota bacterium. RNAcentral's name for it is "uncultured Firmicutes bacterium partial 16S ribosomal RNA". It matches the Rfam family "Bacterial small subunit ribosomal RNA", at positions 355 to 774 of the family's 1533-position model. The record is from RNAcentral. Lineage: Bacteria; Bacillati; Bacillota.
UAGGGAAUAUUUCACAAUGGGGGGAACCCUGAUGGAGCAAUGCCGCGUGUGUGAAGAAGGCUUUCGAGUCGUAAAGCACUGUUAUAAGGGAAGAACAUGUAGAUCAGGAAAUGGGUUUACACUGACGGUACCUUAUCAGAAAGGGACGGCUAACUACGUGCCAGCAGCCGCGGUAAUACGUAGGUCCCAAGCGUUAUCCGGAAUUAUUGGGCGUAAAGGGUCCGUAGACGGUUUAUUAAGUCUGGUGUGAAAUAUUGUGGCUCAACCACAAAAACGCAUCAGAUACUGGUAAACUAGAGUAUGUUAGAGGAUAGUGGAAUUCCAUGUGUAGCGGUGAAAUGCGUAGAUAUAUGGAGGAACACCAGUGGCGAAGGCGGCUAUCUGGGACAUUACUGACGUUGAGGGACGAAAGCGUGGGGAGCGAACA